UACGAAGGGGGCUAGCGUUGCUCGGAAUCACUGGGCGUAAAGCGCACGUAGGCGGAUAUUUAAGUCGGUGGUGAAAUCCUGGAGCUCAACUCCAGAACUGCCUCCGAUACUGAAUGUCUUCGAGUUCGGGAGAGGGAAGCGGAAUUCCGGGUGUAGCGGUGAAAUGCGUAGAUAUCCGGAGGAACACCGGUGGCGAAGGCGGCUUCCUGGACCGAUCACUGACGCUGAGGCGCGAAAGCUAGGGGAGCAAACGGG
RNAcentral lists this ribosomal RNA (255 nucleotides) under uncultured bacterium. Its description in RNAcentral is "partial 16S ribosomal RNA". It matches the Rfam family "Bacterial small subunit ribosomal RNA", at positions 524 to 776 of the family's 1533-position model. The record is from RNAcentral.